CAAAACGAUUGUAUCUUUAUCAAAAUACUAACACGAUCCGUGUGCUACACAAAUAGAAGCGUUUGCUGGGGUCAGUUUUUUAGUCCUUAUUGAAUCAAUGGCUCAGUGAUAAUGCAUUUGAAAGAGCUUGCACAUGGGUACUUCUUGAUCCUUUGCAUGAGAAGAGAUUUAAAGGUCUUUAAAUGUGUAUCGCAGUUUUUAAUAAGCUAUACAGUCAAUUAUAGCUUGGACUCUACGAGUCAUUCAAGGUUUAAAGAACGUUGAUAGCAUAUAAAAGAUGAAGCAAUUGCAAUGAAUACAUCUUAUCACCAUAUUACUUCUUUUGGAGAUSUUACUGAUGUUGUGGUUUAUAGACGAGGAGAAAAAUUACAGGCRGUCAGGAAACGUGAAGUGGUGCAAAGCCACAAGGAACAAGUACUCAAUCUACAAACGAGGCACUUUUUGCUAUCACAAUUAUCAGCUCUUUACAACCAUCCAUUCAAACUUGUKAAAGCAGUCAGGGGAAUAGAUAGAAAUUGUGAUUUAUUUGUUAAUUACUAAGACAGCUUUUUUGGAUGACUUAAAGCCGACUUGUCCCGAGGCGAACGCUUCCACCAAAGACUGGCAUUGUGACAUCAUUAGCUGUUAAUUUAAGAAUAACAGCAAAAAUUCUCCAUCAGUCAGACCAAAGAACCAAAUUGAACUGUUCUAUUUUCAAUUAUCGAGCAGUUUAUGGAUGCUUUGUUGACUUCACCAACAAACAAACGAAUGGAACAAGGUCGAACAGACCUGAACAAACAACCUUUAGCAAGGUAUCGUUUUCCAAGCGUACACCAGUCUUAACAUAUUUUAAAGAUGUGUGUCAGACGUCUCCGACAGCCACAAAAAUGCUGCCUGUAAUAACUUUGUAGAAUUUCGCCAAAAAGUAAUUCUUUUGUCAGUAGCCGUUUGCUUCUGAAAUGUAGUAUAGCGACAAUAGAAAAGGUGACAUCUGCAAAAAACAUCUAAUUUCUUGGUCSAAAGCGGCGCUUCCUUUUGCUGCCACUGGAAUUCAAGUUAUUGUCAUCGAUACCAUCCAGUGGUUUGUCAUUGCUAGUUUUUGUAUCAUUUCUCUACCAUCCAAUGGUUUGUCAUUGGUAGUUCUUGAUCAUUUCUCUACCAUCCAGUGGUUUAUCAUUGGUAGUUCUUGCAUCAUUUCUCUACCAUCCAGUGGUUUAUCAUUGGUAGUUCUUGCAUCAUUUCUCUACCAUCCAGUGGUUUAUCAUUGGUAGUUCUUGCAUCAUUUCUCUACCAUCCA
Long non-coding RNA from Exaiptasia diaphana, 1276 nucleotides. RefSeq lists it as uncharacterized. NCBI's taxonomy places the organism in Eukaryota, Metazoa, Cnidaria, Anthozoa, Actiniaria, Aiptasiidae. The transcript has 3 exons. The record is from RefSeq and is a predicted model, not a curated record.